AUGGGCGUAGCUCAAUUGGAAGAGCAGCGGUCUCCAAAACCGCCGGUGUAGGUUCGAGUCCUGCCGCCUGUG
Molecule: transfer RNA, 72 nt
Filed under: Gordonia phage OneUp
Lineage: Duplodnaviria; Heunggongvirae; Uroviricota; Caudoviricetes
Rfam family: tRNA
About the family: Transfer RNA (tRNA) molecules are approximately 80 nucleotides in length. Their secondary structure includes four short double-helical elements and three loops (D, anti-codon, and T loops). Further hydrogen bonds mediate the characteristic L-shaped molecular structure. tRNAs have two regions of fundamental functional importance: the anti-codon, which is responsible for specific mRNA codon recognition, and the 3' end, to which the tRNAs corresponding amino acid is attached (by aminoacyl-tRNA synthetases). tRNAs cope with the degeneracy of the genetic code in two manners: having more than one tRNA (with a specific anti-codon) for a particular amino acid; and 'wobble' base-pairing, i.e. permitting non-standard base-pairing at the 3rd anti-codon position.
Source: Rfam by way of RNAcentral